CAGGACCCUCGAAGGAGAAGGAAAUCGGGACUGGCCCAGCGUCCCGUGCUCUAGAAGGCGGGCUACUGCCCCGUCCCAAGCAGGGGAGGAGGACGAGCGAGGGCGUCACUCAUUCUGUCCCCCGCGGAAGGAUGAGGAAGCUCUGUUUACCUAAAUGAAAAGCUUUCUAGGAGGAAGUCCUAAGUGAACAAUGAUGCAUGAGGAUGCAAUCUUACAGGCAAGGAGCCCAGUGAUAACAAAUGGCUGUAGAUGCUUUUCCUCCAUCAAGCUUCCAGGAGGAGAUGAGAUGGAGCCCAUCGCUGAGCCAAGGUCACCAGCCCCAUUUCACAAAUGUAAAUAGCAGGUGUCCCCCACACAGUCUGAACACUUGGAGGCCAAGAUUCAUUUCUCUCAGGGCCCACCAUCCUCAAGCAUGGGAUUGAUUUAGUGCCUCUUGCUGGGAAGCAAAGUUCUGGGAGCCAUAGUGGGAUCCUCCCUCCCUCCCUGCAGGAGACUGGGGCCCUUCCAAGCAGCAACUGAGACCAGUCAACAACCUCUGCCUUAGGCCAGGCGCGGUGGCUCACGCCUGUAAUCCCAACACUUUGGGAGGCUGAGGCGGGCAGAUCAUCUGAGGUCAGGAGUUCAAAACCAUCCUGGCCAACAUGGUGAAACCCCGUCUCUACUAAAAAUACAAAAAUUAGCUGGGCGUGGUGGUGCGUGCCUGUUGUCCUAGCUACUCCGGAGGCCAAGGCAGGAGAAUUCCUUGAACCUGGGAGACAGAGGUUGCAGGUCUGAGAUUGC
This 780-nucleotide long non-coding RNA is filed under the name Homo sapiens (human). RNAcentral's name for it is "non-protein coding lnc-NLRP12-1:3". The record is from RNAcentral. Lineage: Eukaryota; Metazoa; Chordata; Mammalia; Primates; Hominidae.